ACUAAUGGAUAACUAACUGUUGCCUAGGGGACCUCAAAAGAACCUAAUCACAUUAAACAUGCCCACAGUAAACAAAAACAAAGUAAAACAACAAAACACAAAACAAGAAAGAAAUGAAAAGUCCCCUGAUCUAACCCAUUUCCUCUCCAUACAACUUUCAGGCUCUUAAGCACCAUCACUUCGACGAGGUAACAAGAAAAAACAAACUCUAGUGAGAGGAAAACUGGAAAACCUCACAUCAAGCUUACGAGUUCAUCGGACAACCCGUUGUCCUCGAAUUCGGACUCAGCCUUUACGAAUGGUCACUUCCCCUAACCCCUCUCCUAUCCUUGUCAACAAGCCAUUCCACCUCUCUCCGGACCUCUUCUACCCAAUACAUAGGGCAGUUGUACUUCCUGCCCUCCAACACCAAUCCAUGCAUCGUCGCAUUAGCCUCCCAAGAGUUCAAUUUUUGGAUGACUAUUAGAGCAUCCCCAUUGGCACACAUUCCAAAAACCCAACUCUUCUGCAAAAAAAACCACCUUUAAACAUGUUUGUGCCUAGCCAUGGUUGGAUCUGGAAUGUUCUCCCACAGGGAAGUGCAUAACGCCAUGACCAAUCCUUCUCUAUUUCAUGCUAUUAUGCCAGAAUAUGAUGUCUGUAACUGGUGAUUAAAAGAUGUGUUGAAGUUAAGCUUAAUAGUGUCCCCUUCCGCUGGCUCCAAAAUAGAUUACUUAGGGAUAUGUAUUGAAUUUGAUAACUCACUCAAUUGCUCUAUCUCCAUUAUAUAUGAAUUUAUGAAUCCCACAACAUCCUAGAUCCCAUCCCUAUACCCUCAUGAUACACUUUGUUAUAGUUGUACCACAAAACCCAGUAAGAGAUGGCUAACCAUUGUUUCUAACUGUGUUGCAUGUUAACUGCCGAGAGAGCCACACCAACUCACCUAGGACCUGCUUCGAGAAAACACAGUCACAAAAUAAAUGGGCCACCAACUCCUCCUCUACUUCACAAACCGGAUAAAGUGAAUUCGCAACAAGCUUAUAGGACUUCAGCACCCCCAACACUAGCAAAAAAUCAUUAGAUACUUUCCAGAAAUCUAUACGGAUUUUAUUAGGAAUGCUUAGACUCCAUAGUCUUGUAUAAAAGUUAGAUAGAUUCACUAUUUUUUCUAUGUAAUUAACCCCCAGUAUGUCACGCCCUUCUAUAAUGAGCCAUCUGUAACGGAUUCUUGUUAUGUAAUCCCCUACUUCAUCCCCCUCCAAA
Long non-coding RNA from Gossypium raimondii (Peruvian cotton), 1242 nucleotides. RefSeq lists it as uncharacterized. The transcript is spliced from 2 exons. The record is from RefSeq and is a predicted model, not a curated record. Lineage: Eukaryota; Viridiplantae; Streptophyta; Magnoliopsida; Malvales; Malvaceae.